RNAcentral lists this unclassified non-coding RNA (4160 nucleotides) under Amphibalanus amphitrite. RNAcentral's name for it is "signal transducer and activator of transcription 5B- like, transcript variant X3". The record is from RNAcentral. Lineage: Eukaryota; Metazoa; Arthropoda; Thecostraca; Balanomorpha; Balanidae.
UGAGCUACUAGCUCUACGGCGUACGCUGGGUUGGCGCUUGCGCGCUGACUCGUGCGCCGCCGAGCGGAGGCGAGCGGUUCGCUCACUGUGUUUGUGCCGAGGGGUGUUAUCCCGGGUGGAGGAUCCGGAGCUCACCAAAAUCUGUGAUAUGAGGCAUAUUUUGAAGAAGAGAUAACAUAAUAUUAUAUACACAUUUUCACCUGGAAUGUUGGUACCUGUCUGAUAUCGUCUCGCUUGACUGCAAGAUAUUUACUUCAACUUGUGAUACUCAGCAUUGUUACAACUGAAAAGGCAGCUCGGCGACACCCGGUCCCAGCCACAGACCAGCGAGAUGGCGCUCUGGCACAAGGUGCAGCAGCUGCCAGAGGCCUCUCUGAGGAAGAUCUACGGCGAACACUUCCCGAUCGAGGUGCGCCACUGCCUGGCGCCCUGGAUCGAGUCCAAGAUGUGUCAGUUCCAGGAGAUUAACCCGGACGAUCCGACCCACGAGCAGUACGCCAGCCAGCUAGUGAUGGCGCUGAUCGCCGAGCUGGAGAACAAGGCCACCUCGCUGCCCAGCACCGACGAGCUGUUCGUCGUCAAACUCAAACUCACAGACUGCGCCAACAUGUUCAAGGCGCGCUACCCGCAAAACUCGCUUUCGCUGGUCCGUAUUAUUCAGCACGCGCUCAACUGGGAGCUGAAGCUGGUCACACAGCACGAGACUGGUCUGCAGGGCAUGGCGCCCGGCGGGAUGGCGCUCAUCCCGGACACGGCCUCGGAGAUUAUCCAGCAGAUCCAGUACCUGCGACAGCGCGUCCACGACGCCGGCGAGGACUACGAGAAGAUGAAGCAGGAACAGGAGUCGUUCGCCAUCCAGUACCACGAGUGCGCCAAACUCAACGCCACCCUGCAGCACAUCCAGGGCCAGCGCGGCCAGAACCCGCUCGGAGUCGAGCAGGAGAAGGAGCUGAAGAGGAAGAAGGAGCUGACAGAGUCCACCCUGACGCAGAAGGUAUCUGGACUGCUGCAGAUGCGCCUGGCGCUGGCUGACAAGCACAAGGAGACGGUCUCGCUGCUGACCCAGGUGCAGUCGCGCGUGCUAGACGAGGAACUGAUCCGGUGGAAGCGCGAGCAGCAGCUGGCCGGCAACGGCGCGCCCUUCAGCAACAACCUCGACCAGAUCCAGGAAUGGUGCGAGGAGCUCUCAGUGAUCAUCUGGGAGACGCGCCACCAGAUCAAGGAGGUGGAGCGGCUGCGGCAGCGCGUGCCGAUCGACCCGCCGGGCGGCGUGGACAUCCUGCCGCAGCUCAACCAGGACAUCACCCAGCUGCUCUCAUCGCUGGUCACCAGCACGUUCAUUAUCGAGAAGCAGCCGCCGCAGGUGAUGAAGACUAACACGCGGUUCACGGCCACCGUGCGACUGCUGGUGGGCGCCAAACUCAGCGUGCACAUGUCGCCGCCGCAGGUGAAGGUGACCAUCAUCAGUGAAGGUCAGGCCAACCUGUUGCUCAAGAACGACAAGAUGAACAAGGGAGACGCCAGCGGCGAGAUCCUCAACAACACUGGCACCAUGGAGUACCACCAGGCCACCCGCCAGCUGGCCGUCAACUUCAGAAACAUGCAGCUGCGCAAGAUCAAGCGCGCCGAGAAGAAGGGCACGGAGUCGGUGAUGGACGAGAAGUUCUCGCUGCUCUUCCAGUCGCAGUUCACCGUGGGCGGCGGCGAGCUGGUGUUCCAGGUGUGGACGCUCUCCCUACCCGUGGUGGUGAUCGUCCACGGCAACCAGGAGCCGCACGCCUGGGCCACCGUCACUUGGGACAACGCGUUCGCCGAGCCGGGCCGCAUCCCGUUCGCCAUCCCCGAGCGCGUCUCCUGGGCUCAGGUGGCCGACGCGCUCAGCACAAAGUUCAAAUCGGCCACCGGCAAGCCGCUCUCCGAGGACAACCUACGCUUCCUGGCCGGAAAGGUGUUCAGGAGUCCGCACGUGCAGGACUUCACCAACAUGAUGCUGACGUGGCAGCAGUUCGCCAAGGAACCGCUGACCGACCGCAACUUCACCUUCUGGGAGUGGUUCUACGGCGUGAUGAAGCUGACGCGCGAGCACCUGCGCGGCCCGUGGAACGACGGCCUGGUGAUGGGCUUCGUGGGCCGCCGCCAGGCGGAGGAGAUGCUGCAGCAGCGGCCGCACGGCACCUUCCUGCUGCGCUACUCGGACUCGGAGUUGGGCGGCAUCACCAUCGCCUGGGGCGCGCACGAAAACGGAGAGCAACAAGUGUACAUGCUGCAGCCGUUCACCAACAAGGACUUCGCGAUCCGCUCUCUGGCCGACCGUCUGUCGGACCUGAAGCACCUGAUCUACCUGUACCCGGACAUCAUCAAGGACCAGGCCUUCUCCAAGUACUACACGCCCAUCAACAGCAGCAGCAACACGUCCAACAACGGCUACGUCCGCCCGCUGCUCGUCACUCACGUGCCGGGGUGGUCGGGUGUGGGUGGCAUGGACAGCUACCCGAACACGCCUCAGACGUUCUACUCGCCCACAUCGCCCGACAACACCAACCGGGACACGCCGUCGGUCAACUCGGCCAUCUCCGAGUCCGUCUCCACGUUCGCCACGGCCGACGGCGACGCCAGCGACAUCAUACCCGACAUCGCCAUCCUGGACGACAUGCCCAUGGACUUCAACAACAUCAACGACUUCCUCCAGUCGGUCGACACCAAACCGCCCAUCUUCGGACUCAACCCGCCGCCGCCCAUGUAGGCUCAGUGGCGGCGGAGGACGAGCGACCGGGCGGCCAGCGCCGCUCGGCUCGCCGCCGCCGGUCCGGCUCCGAGCGAGCAUCUAACAAGGUGGCGCGGCGGGCGGCUGUUCAAAGUUCAGGUAGGAGCGACCACUGCCCGCGCCGCGCGCCGGCGACUCGAGAUGUCUCGCCGCCUUCCCCGCCCGGCCGGUCGGCCGAGGAUUAUGUUAAGGUAGUGCUAAGGAGCUCUCUUUCUCUGCGCGGGAUCGACAGACACCCUGUCCGGUGACCCAAAACGUUUCAAAGUGCGCUUUCAUCUAUUCCAUCGGCGCGCCCCGUCCGCUUGUCGUCCAGGCUAGUGUUUGUAUAACGUUUUGUAUAGAUGACCGCCUAGUGUUUAGUGUCGUUUCGACGUGAUGGUCGCUACAAAGCUUUUGGAGGAGACGCUUGUGGAAGAAUUUAGUAUUGAGGCUCUUGUCUCCUGCUCCCUAAUCUAUACUGUCAUUUAGACGGUGCAUUUUACUUGAGCUCCAUCUUGUCCUCUCGAUCAUGUAGGUUAGUGAUUUAGUGGCUCGUCCCGGUCGUUUCCGUGUCCGUUUGUGAUGUAUCUUUCCUGUCCUCCGUUCCGAUUUGUCUGGUUCGAUGUUCUGGCCGGCCGGCGCGGAGCCGGUCUGAGUAGAUGACUUCCCUGGCGGCGCGGCGCGCUCGCCGGUCGCAGUAGGGGCGCCGUGGGACCGGAGUGUGCCGGUGCCACGCGCCCAGGCCUUGCCAGUCCCUCCAGAUGACGCCUUGCGGGGCGGGCUCGCGGCGUCUCGGACAAAGUGCACUUAGUCCCGCCCUGGCGGCGCUGUGGUGCCACACAGUCCGCGGCGGAGAGAGCUGUACCUGACCCUCGCCGGCCGUAGAGGUGCGGUAACGGAAACGUAGGGGACAGAGACGCGCACAAGUUUGGCGCCGAUAUCGGAACUAUACGGAGAGCGUUACGGGAGAGAGAGAGGGAGAGUGAGAGAGAGGACGGAGGGAGCGCCGGAGGCCCGGCGGCCAUGCGGGUCGGUGCAGUAGGGUACGGUGAUGUGACCACCGGUCGGUGCCGUAGGGGACGGUGAUGUGACCACCGGUCGGUGCCGUAGGGUACGGUGAUUCGUCCACCGGCGCAGUAGGAUCCGGUGCUUUGUUCGCCGGUCGGUGCCGUAGGGUGCGGUGAUUUGUUGACCGUUGUGUGUCGCCAGAGACGCGGCGUCCUGGUUUGUUGUCUCCCUUGGUUGUAUCCGGCGUUAGCUGAGGGCUCGGGUGGGCCCCGGAUACGCCGGCGCUUGGCUUUGGUUUAAGGAGCUGCUGCCCGCGCUUAUUACUAAUCCGUAGCUGGUUGUUUGUUGUGCGAAUCGGCGAGGCCAUUGGAGGAAAAGAAUCCUCCGAGAGAAUACAGCUGACUGCUUG